GUCCACGCUGUAAACGAUGAUGAUUAGGCGCUAGAGAGUAUCGACCCUCUUUAGUGCCAUAGCUAACGCGUUAAAUCAUCCGCCUGGGGAGUACGGCCGCAAGGCUAAAACUCAAAGGAAUUGACGGGGGACCUGCACAAGCGGUGGAGCAUGUGGUUUAAUUCGACGGUAAGCGAGGAACCUUACCAAGGCUUGACAUGUAGCUACAUACGCCAGAGAUGGCGUAGCCUUCGAGGGUGCUACACAGGUGCUGCACGGUUGUCGU
RNAcentral lists this ribosomal RNA (265 nucleotides) under uncultured bacterium. RNAcentral describes it as "partial 16S ribosomal RNA". It matches the Rfam family "Bacterial small subunit ribosomal RNA", at positions 793 to 1055 of the family's 1533-position model. The record is from RNAcentral.